Molecule: ribosomal RNA, 447 nt
Filed under: uncultured bacterium
Lineage: Bacteria
Description: partial 16S ribosomal RNA
Rfam family: Bacterial small subunit ribosomal RNA
Source: RNAcentral
AACGAACGCUGGCGGCAGGCCUAACACAUGCAAGUCGAACGCCCCGCAAGGGGAGUGGCGCACGGGUGAGUAACGCGUGGGAAUGUACCUUUUAGUUUGGGAUAACAGCGGGAAACUGCUGCUAAUACCGAAUACGCCCUUAGGGGGAAAGAUUUAUCGCUAAAAGAUCAGCCCGCGUCAGAUUAGCUAGUUGGUGGGGUAAUGGCCUACCAAGGCUCCGAUCUGUAGCUGUUCUGAGAGGAAGAUCAGCCACACUGGAACUGAGACACGGUCCAGACUCCUACGGGAGGCAGCAGUGGGGAAUAUUGGACAAUGGGGGAAACCCUGAUCCAGCCAUGCCGCGUGAGUGAUGAAGGCCUUAGGGUUGUAAAGCUCUUUUAGCAGGGAAGAUGAUGACGGUACCUGCAGAAUAAGCACCGGCUAACUUCGUGCCAGCAGCCGCAGUAA